This is an RNA transcript of Ochotona princeps (American pika), 1056 nucleotides long. It is a transcript of the gene named myeloid leukemia factor 2-like, with no coding region annotated. The transcript has a single exon. NCBI's taxonomy places the organism in Eukaryota, Metazoa, Chordata, Mammalia, Lagomorpha, Ochotonidae. The record is from RefSeq and is a predicted model, not a curated record.
AUGUUCCGCUUCAUGAGGGACGUGGAGCCCGAGGAUCCCAUGUUCCUGAUGGACCCCUUCGCCAUUCACCGCCAGCACAUGAGUCGGAUGUUGCCCGGGGGCUUCGGAUACAGCCCUUUUCUCAGCGUCACAGAUGGCAACGUGCCAGGGAGCAGGCCUGCCAGCCGCAGGGUGCAGGCUGGGGCUGUCUCCCCCUUCGGAAUGUUGGGAAUGUCUGGCGGCUUCAUGGACAUGUUUGGAAUGAUGAAUGACAUGACUGGGAACAUGGAGCACAUGACGGCUGGCGGCAACUGCCAGACCUUCUCGUCCUCCACGGUCAUUUCCUACUCCAACACGGGGGACGGUGCCCCCAAGAUCUAUCAAGAGACCUCGGAGAUGCGCUCAGCGCCAGGCGGGAUCCGGGAGACGCGGAGGACUGUCCGGGACUCUGACAGUGGACUCGAGCAGAUGUCCAUCGGCCAUCACAUCCGGGACAGGGCUCACAUCCUGCAGCGCUCCCGGACCACCGCACAGGCGACCAGGAGGAGCGGCAGGACUACACAUCAACUUGGAUGAGAGUCAGGCCGCGGCAUUCGAUGACGAGUGGCGGCGGGAAACAUCCCGGUUCCGGCAGCAGCGUCCUCUGGAGUUUCGGCGGCAUGAGGCCUCAGCAGGUGGGGGCCGCCGGGCUGAGGGGCCUCCCCGCCUGGCCAUCCAGGGAUCUGAGGACUCCCCCUCCUGACAGUCCCGUCGCUAUGACUGGUGAGGGGCCCACGUCCCCAGCCUCUCUUGUACAGGCCUAAAGGCUGUGACACCAUCCUCAAAGGCCACUUUUCCUCUCCAAUGCCCACCCCCAGUUUAAUAUUAAAUUAACAGGCAAGCUGGCCCCACCUUCCCUGGGGGUCUCAGGGAGAACCUUUCAUGGCCCCCUCAACGGCUGAGCCCCUGGCCACGCCCACGCCACCUGUCCUGGAUCCACUAACUUGACUCUUCAGGUUGCUGCUCCGUCUUGGAACCGCCUCACCUUCCCACCCCUCUCCCCUUUGCUGUGCAUCGGAGGGUCUUUGAAGGGGAGCU